This 399-nucleotide ribosomal RNA is filed under the name uncultured bacterium. RNAcentral's name for it is "bacterial SSU rRNA". It matches the Rfam family "Bacterial small subunit ribosomal RNA", at positions 358 to 774 of the family's 1533-position model. The record is from RNAcentral.
GGAAUAUUGCACAAUGGGGGAAACCCUGAUGCAGCGACGCCGCGUGAGUGAAGAAGUAUCUCGGUGGGUAAAGCUCUACCAGCAGGGAAGAAAAUGACGGUACCUGACUAAGAAGCCCCGGCUAACGACGUGCCAGCAGCCGCGGUAAUACGUAGGGGGCAAGCGGUAUCCGGAUUUACUGGGUGUAAAAGGAGCGUAGACGGCAGCGCAAGUCUGGAGUGAAAUGCCGGGGCCCAACCCCGGAACUGCUUUGGAAACUGUGCAGCUCGAGUGCAGGAGAGGUAAGCGGAAUUCCUAGUGUAGCGGUGAAAUGCGUAGAUAUUAGGAGGAACACCAGUGGCGAAGGCGGCUUACUGGACUGUAACUGACGUUGAGGCUCGAAAGCGUGGGGAGCAAACA